This is a non-coding RNA of Parelaphostrongylus tenuis, 72 nucleotides long. The record is from the annotation of a GenBank genome assembly. NCBI's taxonomy places the organism in Eukaryota, Metazoa, Nematoda, Chromadorea, Rhabditida, Metastrongylidae.
GGCCUCGGUGGUGUAGUGGUAUCACGCUCCCCUGGUACGGGUGAAACGCGGAUUCAGCUCCCGUUGAGAUCU